GCUGGGCGUGGUGGUGGGCGCCUGUAAUCCCAGCUACUCGGGAGGCUGAGGCAGGAGAAUUGCUUGAACCCAGGAGGCAGAGGUUGCAGUGAGCUGAGAUCGUGCCACUGCACUCCAGCCUGGGCGACAGAGCAAGACUCCGCCUCUC
This 148-nucleotide non-coding RNA is filed under the name Gorilla gorilla gorilla (western lowland gorilla). The record is from Rfam by way of RNAcentral. Lineage: Eukaryota; Metazoa; Chordata; Mammalia; Primates; Hominidae.